RNAcentral lists this ribosomal RNA (507 nucleotides) under uncultured bacterium. RNAcentral describes it as "partial 16S ribosomal RNA". It matches the Rfam family "Bacterial small subunit ribosomal RNA", at positions 28 to 523 of the family's 1533-position model. The record is from RNAcentral.
GACGAACGCUGGCGGCGUGCUUAACACAUGCAAGUCGAACGAGAAAGCCCUUCGGGGUAAGUACAGUGGCGAACGGGUGAGUAACACGUGGGCAACCUGCCCCAGAGAGCGGGACAACCCGGGGAAACCCGGGCUAAUACCGCAUGAUGCGUCUCCACUUAAGUGGAGCCGCCAAAUGGUAGCUUCGGCCUCCGCUCUGGGAUGGGCCCGCGCCGGAUUAGCUAGUUGGUUGGGGUAACGGCCCACCAAGGCGACGAUCCGUAGCUGGUCUGAGAGGACGAUCAGCCACACGGGGACUGGGAAACGGCCCGGACUCCUACGGGAGGCAGCGGUGGGGAAUCUUGCGCAAUGGGCGAAAGCCUGACGCAGCAACGCCGCGUGGGGGAAGAAGGCCUUCGGGUUGUAAACCUCUUUCAGUAGGGACGAAGCUUCCGGGGUUAAUAGCCUACGGGGUGACGGUACCUACAGAAGAAGCCCCGGCUAACUACGUGCCAGCCGCCGCCGUAA